Non-coding RNA from Tribolium castaneum (red flour beetle), 66 nucleotides. The record is from RefSeq and is marked provisional. NCBI's taxonomy places the organism in Eukaryota, Metazoa, Arthropoda, Insecta, Coleoptera, Tenebrionidae.
UAGUAGCACUGGACGAUCUAAACAUGUCUUCUUUAAUGAAGUUGUGUAAAGGAAACAGUGCAAAAU